Molecule: long non-coding RNA, 3367 nt
Organism: Neofelis nebulosa (Clouded leopard)
Lineage: Eukaryota; Metazoa; Chordata; Mammalia; Carnivora; Felidae
Exons: 6
Source: RefSeq, a predicted model, not a curated record
GGUACAGCCUGGAGAAGGACACAUGACCAGUUUUCUCUGAGCCAGCACAUUUUCCAUUCUAAAUAUAGCCCAAGAUGACCCAAGACAUCUUCCCCCUCACAAGGAGACUCAAGGUUCUGUAUUUUCCCGCGUUUCUGUGACUUCUGAAAGAAGUGAACAGCGAGAGCUGAGGCUUUUACCUCCCAUCGCCUGAUCCCAUGGACCCUGGGUCCUAAGGAGCGAUGGCCACCCGCCCUUGAGAGGAGGGCCCGGCCUGGGUGAGGAGCUCUCUUUGGUCCCCAACAUUUAGUAGCUACCAAAAUAUUUUGCCAGCCCUCUCCCUCCAGCAGAGUGAAACAGGGCUUCUAUCCACCUAGGCAGGGUCAGUCGUCACGCAGGCCGAAAAUGAGAAGCUUUCUGCCACCCUUGUGUUCAUCCACCCCAGCAUCUCAGAAGUGAGGCCCAGCCUCAUGAGUUUUAAUUGGACAACAGAUUCCUACUUCCCCUAGGAACCUUGCAGCAACAUCAAGAUGGACCUUUUAUCACAUUUCUGGAAGGGUGAAGGUGCUCUGGAAAAAGCCAGUGGAGAGAGAGGGAGGCCCUCCCGCAAGGGAGAAAGCUAAGCCACAGCAGGCGCUAGGACUCCCGGAGGAGAUGACACAGCCACCGGCUGGCACUUGUCGGCUCGGGCUGCACCGCACAUCAGCGGUCAUGACGAUGCUCCCCGCGUCACCAGGGACAGUGGCGCAAAGCCCGUCCAGAGCUGCUCCAGAGAGUGAGGGACCCAGCACGGCAUCUCUCUCCCUGCCUGUGGCUUGACGGGCCCGUGCUCUUGGCUCCCUGGGCAGAAAAGAUAUGGAACUCCUCCUGGCAUGGCAGCACCAGUACCCCUGUGCCUUUGGCCUCCCUCCCCUGGUGGCGUGGAGCCCAGAGACACCAACAUCCUCUGGGACUAAGGAAGCCCUUCCAGAACUUGCCACCAGCCCCGGAAUCCUGGCUGCUCCCCCAGUGAUGGAACAUUGGACAUGGUGGCUCUCAGGGCUGAAUUCCGGAGUGCUAACGUGGACCAGGAAGUAAGGCUUAUGAGACUUGGUCUUCGAGUGCCCUCCUUUCUCCCUUGCUUUACACCUGAAUUUGGCCUCCUGCUCUACAUCUGUCCGCCAAAUGCCUCUUUUAGCCUCGCUGUUACCCCGCAGCGUCCCAUUGUUUAUACAAGUUUUUUCUCCUCCGCCAAGAAUUUCUUAGUACCUCAAUUAGAACGUAGGAUUUGGGGAGAUUCGUGCUGUCAUCCUUCCCCCCACUCCUGCACUUUAGUGAUUUGCAUGUAGAAGUUACUCAGUCCAGAUUUGUUGAAGGUGGAUUCAACCUGGAUGUCUUCUGUGCAUUUACUCUUGUUAUCUGUUUUGAUCCCAAAUCCUUUCCCCGUGUGGUUCUGGAGUUCCUCCUGCUUCAGGGUUUGGUCUCCUCUAGGGAUGCUGAUAUCUCCUAAUUUAGACCGAAUCUACAGGAAUGUUCACUGUAGCUGAUUUCCCAUCAACUCGGAGGAAAAGAACUCAUACAUUUUUAGGGCUGAAAGAUUCUCCAGAAAGUAUUUAGUCCAUUUCUUUUCAACAGGCCAGGUAACUUGUCCGGGGUCAACUGGUUACGUACGCGACAGAAGAGAGAAGCCAAAUGUCCUGGUUUGAUGUGAGGUCAUUGGUCGUGUGGAUGAAGACAUCAUCUGUAUGGCUGGUGUAGGGUGAGUGGGGGCAUCACAUCGUAUCUGUUCCGGAAGUUUCCUCCGUUGGCUCCCGGGCAUUUCAGCUUAACUUUAACAGCUUCCAAGUGAGUUUAGACACCUUCAUCAUGUCUGCUCCACAGGGGUUGCGUGGGGGCAGCUGGAAGACGGACCCACUCCCAACACAAUCAGGUCACACAGACGGUGUUCCUAGCAGCAGAGAUGGAACGGUCUCCUGUUCCAUCUCGCAAAUCCACAGAUAUGACUGACAGGGAGUGUUUUCCACUUAGAGUCAUGCAGAUCUCAGAGGUAGGUCUGUUUCCAACCACUGAGGAAGCAUAAAGCAAAACAGUCUUGUCGGCAUAGACAUAUGCCUCAUUGUUUUCAAUCUGAACACAUGUUUUACAUCAAGAGAAGGGCUUGUGGUCGGGGUAGGGGGAGCUGAAGGGAGAUUCAAAGGUUCUUCAGCACUCAAAGAUCUCAACCUCUUCAAAGUUUCAACCCUCAGAGCUCUUACGAUGUUUCAUCCCACUCAGCAGAGACGCUUCUCUGCCCACACUCUCAGGUGCAUGCGUGGGGACUCGAGUGUGGUCCAGAAGGACGGAGAAAGGUAACAGGAUGGUCACCUCACUGCAGAUAUUUUCCCCAGAGGAUGUCAUUUCUCCGUUGGGAUUUGAUGAGCUCCCUAAGGCACAUUCACAUGCAGAAAGCAGGUGAUAUCUGGCUGCUAGAGAGGCCGCAUCAAGCCAUGACGGUCAUGGGUACCACGAGCUCACCCUGGAGGGGAAUAAGCACCUUCUAUCUGGGACGCCAGGCAGGUGGGUGCUGGCCAGAACCAGUGUCAGGGACAACAGGUUGAUCAAGAGAAAAGGGAAGGGUUUGCAUUCAGUUAUCAUCACUUUCUAGCCUCAGGGUUCUCAACCGCAAGUUGGAGAUAUUAAUAACUUCCUUCCAUGAUAUUUUUGGGGUUCACCAAAUGAGAUCAUUACCUGUGAAAGUGCUUGGCACAGAGAGAUGAGGGGCAGUGCCCUCGACAGGAAGGAAUUCCGGCACCCACGCCAGCUCCUGGCUGUCUUCUUUCUGAGAUGACUGUUUCUAAGGGGAAGGAGGAGCAAGAUGAUGCUCCCAACCUGCAGGUCACGUCCAGGCAAGUCAAGUUGGAGUGUAAGAGUACCACGUACACUGGGCCCCAAGUGGUUUGUCGUCAGAGGGCCCCGUGGGAAACAGAGUGGCAGGGUGAUGGGGGUGGGGCCAGGAGAGCCCAGCACGAGUCCUGGGGUCACUGCUUGCACUCUUGCUACUUUGGAUGGGUUCUUUGCCUCCUUGGCCGUCUAUAAAUUGGCCCAUCUAUAAAUUGGAGCAGACUACACACAGCAUAGGGUCGUGCCAAGGCUCCUGCAGAAUGAUCCAGGAAGACAGCUGGAAAUGACAAGGUGCUGAAACAUGUGUGAUGGUGUUGUUGUUCUUAAAGGAAGGGAGAAAGGAGGGAGAGCAUGAGAAGUGCGGGGGAAGGGAUUAGCCUCUAUUUAAAAAUUUUUUUUUAAUUUUAAAAUAGUUUUAAGUUUCCAGAAGAGUUGAAAAAAGGGUCUGAAGAGUUCCCACAUACACCACAUCCAGUUUUUCCUACGGUCCAGCUCCUAUAUUAGGAUGGAACAUCUGUCCUGUUUCAUA